Molecule: ribosomal RNA, 270 nt
Filed under: uncultured Planctomycetales bacterium
Lineage: Bacteria; Pseudomonadati; Planctomycetota; Planctomycetia; Planctomycetales
Description: partial 16S ribosomal RNA
Rfam family: Bacterial small subunit ribosomal RNA
Source: RNAcentral
UAGCACGUAGGUGGGUUUGUAAGUCAGAUGUGAAAGCCUUCUGUUCAACGGGAGAAUUGCAUCUGAAACUACAGACCUUGAGUAUAGGAGGGGAGAGUGGAACUUCUGGUGGAGCGGUGAAAUGCGUAGAUAUCAGAAGGAACGCCGGCGGCAAAAGCAAUUCUUUGGCCUUUUCUUGACACUCAGUGCGCGAAAGUAGGGGAAGCAAAGGGGAUUAGAUACCCCGUUAGCCCUAGCGGAAAACGAGGGGCCAUAAAGUAAAGGGUUUUU